Molecule: long non-coding RNA, 1277 nt
Organism: Anopheles merus
Lineage: Eukaryota; Metazoa; Arthropoda; Insecta; Diptera; Culicidae
Exons: 3
Source: RefSeq, a predicted model, not a curated record
UACAAAAAUGUGUCAAAUCUUACAUUACAGGGGUUUUCAAGGUUUUUUUGGUUGAUUUCCGAGAGAGAAAUCAAGAGAAAACGAGAGAAAUUUAGAGAGGAAAUGUGCAAAAGAGAAGGAUAUCUAACUUACAGCACGCAUUCAGUGGGGAGUCUCAUUCGUGCGGCUGAGCUAAAGCAGAUUAGGAUAUACGGGCCCGUGCUAAUAAUUUAGAAUUAGAAAAAAAAUAUUUUAUUACAUUUAUGUCCUUUACAUUAUUAUCUUAAUGUCCGUGCAUAAAAUUUCCCAUAGUUGUUGGGUCGUUCCCACCUUUUUUUGGGCGUAGCAAAGAGUGUUUUAGGUCAAUUGUAUUUAUCUCGAAUCGGAUGAUACUAAUACAUUGUGAAAACGAUUCAAAAUUAAAUGGAAAUUAAUGAACAAAUCGUAAAACAAACCAACUAAUAAAUCGUGGUAAACCCCGUAACGAGGAAAGCUGCCAAACUCUUCUUCUUCUUAUUUGAACUAAGGUGACUUUUGGAACCUGCAACAGCCAACGCGUCUGUCCAAAAUCAACCCGGUCUAUUUUCGUUUUGUGGAAAAAUAUGAAAAAUCAUGUCGUUGACUUUGUUAGACAAUGCAAUAAACCGAUGAUGUGCUGUCUCAUUUCGCCAGGAUGUCCAUUCGCUGAUGCUCCCGGAAGCCAUUUUCACCGACCAGUAGACGCCACACGAUGAGUCACCCGUAACCAUUUAUCCCGUCGGCACAUACGGUGAAUACGUUAGCAACCCAUCCACCCAUAAAAAUGUAUGAAAGACGGCCCAUUAUUAGAACCGCUGGCACGCGCACGCCGGGGCACAUAUCCGUGUAUACGUAACGUAGAUGAAGUCCUCGUAGGUGCGUGUGUCUCCAAGGUUGCGCCACACCCGGAGGGAAAUUCAAAACCGUCUAGGACAGCCCUCUCGAAAAACGCAAUCACAUACAAACACGCACACACAUUUAAGUUUGCUGGAAGAAAACAACAACGAUAGACAGUUCCUCCAGUCCAUCAAGAAACCCCUACAUCCACAGACUCGGAUCCCCCGUUUGGAAGUACUGCAACUUACUGAGAAUUUGUGGCAGAAAGUAAGAGUGACUGUGCAUCGAAAGGAGAUUGUGCAUCGAAAUCGAAUCGAACAAUAACAGCAGCAGCAGCAACAGCAGCAAAAAUGCGCUUGCAAUCGCCUGCAUUCUUUUACCGCCGAAAAACUCUACCACAAGAAUUAAGACGUUAAGUGAACUUCCUCCUCCCAUUCCGUAAU